UNGCUGGAUAUAGCAUUUGGUGAUCUGUGU
This 30-nucleotide non-coding RNA is filed under the name Mus musculus (house mouse). The record is from RNAcentral. Lineage: Eukaryota; Metazoa; Chordata; Mammalia; Rodentia; Muridae.